This 519-nucleotide ribosomal RNA is filed under the name uncultured eukaryote. RNAcentral describes it as "SSU rRNA". It matches the Rfam family "Eukaryotic small subunit ribosomal RNA", at positions 1161 to 1702 of the family's 1831-position model. The record is from RNAcentral.
AGGGCACCCCCAGGAGUGGAGCCUGCGGCUUAAUUUGACUCAACACGGGAAAUCUCACCAGGCCCGGACACCGGAAGGAUUGACAGAUUGAGAGCUCUUUCUUGAUUCGGGGGGUGGGGGUGCAUGGCCGUUCUUAGUUGGGGGAGCGAUUUGUCUGGUUAAUUCCGAUAACGAACGAAACUCUGGCCUACUAAAUAGACGUUAGAUCCCUUUGUGGGUCUAUCGCAGCUUCUUAGAGGGACGGGCGGCGUUCAGCCGCACGAGAUUGAGCAAUAACAGGUCUGUGAUGCCCUUAGAUGUUCUGGGCUGCACGCGCGCUACACUGAAGGAAUCAGCGUGUGUUCCCUGCCCGAAAGGACUGGGAAACCCGUUGAACCUCCUUCGUGAUGGGGAUUGGGGAUUGCAAUUAUUCCCCAUGAACGAGGAAUUCCCAGUAGGCGCGAGUCAUAAGCUUGCGUCGAUUACGUCCCUGCCCUUUGUACACACCGCCCGUCGCUACUACCGAUCGAGUGAUUUAGU